GGAAUCGCCCCCGGCGCCAUUUGCUCCUUCAGAGCGCGGUGGGGCCGGACGCGGCCGGUCCGGGCUCCCCCGGCGGGGCCCAGGCUGGUUGUGCCGCCUCCAGCUCACCGACUGAUGCCGCUCAUGGCUCCAGGCGCUCCUGAGGCACGGGAACACCCACAGCUCUGCUCGGCCGGAUGGAACUGAAGGGCUGGAAGAUCCCCAGGCCUGAGCAGUCACCAGCAGGUGACGAUCCAGGUAUUCGUCCCCUUGUCCUGAGCUCGGGAUGAGGUAGCUCCCAGCUGCCGCUGCCAGGAAGGAGCAGCUCCCCAAGGACGACUGUGCUCCCGUGCAAUGCCGGCUGCCCUGCCUCUCUUAGGGAAAGCGGCUGCUCUGGAAGAGGAACUCAAAUCCCAGCAGUCGGGGCUCGGCAGCAGCCAGCGAGCCCCUUGCACUGCGCAGUGCCAGAGGGCCGUGCCCCGAGCCCGGGAGCCACAUCGGGCGCAGGGACUCGGUGACGUGGGGUCCCUGCCCAGGCUCUGCCAGGAGGAGGAGAUGGACGGGAGUGCCCGGGUGGAGCCUGGCACCGGCGGCCAGCGGGGCCCUUCCUGAGGGGAGAACUUGCUCUGUGUUCCGUGAGCAGGAUUAAGAGCUGGCCAGAAGCAUUUAAUAUUCAUUUUAUAGACUAUCACAUGAACUGAUACCAGUGUGCAUUAUGCAAAAUAGCCACAAUCUCUGCAGGCUUCAGAACAAAGAUAAACAACGUUGCUUUCCUUUCCUUCUUUUAGGCAAUUAUAUAUAGGUAAGAUUAAUAAUGCCUGAUGACAUUUUCUUCCUUAAAACUCUGCCCAAGACCAUGCUACUAACUAGGUUUCAAAAGCAGAAAGAGAUGAAAGUGAUAAAUUAAACCUGAUGCUCAA
Corvus hawaiiensis (hawaiian crow) is the source of this 899-nucleotide long non-coding RNA. RefSeq lists it as uncharacterized. The transcript is spliced from 2 exons. NCBI's taxonomy places the organism in Eukaryota, Metazoa, Chordata, Aves, Passeriformes, Corvidae. The record is from RefSeq and is a predicted model, not a curated record.